CGCAGCUGCAGACCUGGCGUCCUGGUGCCUCCUGGCUCCUCAGUGAUCCAGCCCAGCCUGGAAAAGGAUCGCCUGGGCUCCAGGACUCACUGCAGAGGGUCCCACAGGGCCUGAGUCCUCAAACUCCGCUGAGGAGCCAGGAGAGUGACGACAGGUCUUAAGGCUCCUACAGAGCCUUCGCUGCUGAGCCUGGUGCGGUCCCUCCUCCUCCCCCCCGCAAGCUGCCUGCACACAAGGAGGAGACCCUGAGGUCAGCAGAGGCGCCGCAGAGAGGGCGGGCCCGGCAGAGAGCUGGUGAUGAAGACAGGCCAGCAUGAGGGCCAGGGCCUGCCCUGCUGGCCACCAGCCUGCCCGCCCCCAUGGCCGCUGUGGCUGGAGUUGGGAUCUGCUACUGCAGGGCCUGUCUCACUCCAGCCCCGGAAGCCCUGCCCAUGGCACGGCGGCCACCCUCUCCUGCCAGAGCUUUCCAGGAGCUCUGAGGCUGAGGCCACAGCCCCAGCCCCUGCCUGCAGCCCCGGGCCCCACCGCAGGAGAUCUCAGAAGCCCUGCACCCGGGGUUUAAGCAGGCUCUCUGCCAGGCCCCACCACUGCCGGGGCCCAGACCCCCAGCUCUGCCGGCACCAACGUCCUGGUGCUGGGCGGCCACUCAUGUCUGCAGGCCAAGCAGGCCCUGGCUGGGGGUUCUCCUUUCUGUCUAGCCGGUGGGGGUUUCCAGAUUUAGGAGAAUGAU
This is a long non-coding RNA of Lontra canadensis (Northern American river otter), 730 nucleotides long. RefSeq lists it as uncharacterized. The record is from RefSeq and is a predicted model, not a curated record. The transcript is spliced from 3 exons. NCBI's taxonomy places the organism in Eukaryota, Metazoa, Chordata, Mammalia, Carnivora, Mustelidae.